GUGCUCGCUUCAGUAGCACAUACACGAACAUUGGAACGGCACAGAGAAGAUUAUUAUGGCCCCUGCCCAAGGAUGACACCCAAAUUCAUGAAGCGUUCCAUAUUUUU
RNAcentral lists this small nuclear RNA (107 nucleotides) under Myotis brandtii (Brandt's bat). Lineage: Eukaryota; Metazoa; Chordata; Mammalia; Chiroptera; Vespertilionidae. The record is from RNAcentral.